This 238-nucleotide unclassified non-coding RNA is filed under the name Hevea brasiliensis (rubber tree). The record is from RNAcentral. Lineage: Eukaryota; Viridiplantae; Streptophyta; Magnoliopsida; Malpighiales; Euphorbiaceae.
GAUUGGCCUCAUUGCAGCAACAUUCAGUUUCUGUUUAAGAUUUCCUCCAUUUUCUCGUUCAUGUCCAAUAGAAGUGAAAGGUUUAGUUUCUCUGUAUGGCUCAGAUCUUUUUCGACUAGGUGCAGGAGGUAUCAACCAGCUAGGAGGCUUGGUGAGAACUAAGUUGUUAGCAUAUAGUUCUUUGCCUUCCUUUGAACAAAAGAAAAGGAGGCGUUCUGCAUCAUCUUUCUCAAAGGAA